GAGGAAGAUUCUGUGUCAUCUAUUAGGGAGGAAGAUGCUCUAUAAUCUGAGGUUAGAUGAGGAAGAUGCUCUAUAAUCUGGAUGAGGGAUGAGGAAGAUGCUG
Molecule: long non-coding RNA, 103 nt
Organism: Salarias fasciatus (jewelled blenny)
Lineage: Eukaryota; Metazoa; Chordata; Actinopteri; Blenniiformes; Blenniidae
Exons: 3
Source: RefSeq, a predicted model, not a curated record